AUGGGAACGCGAAGAACCUUACCUACUCUUGACAUCCAGAGAACUUUCCAGAGAUGGAUUGGUGCCUUCGGGAACUCUGAGACAGGUGCCGCAUGGCUGUCGUCAGCUCGUGUUGUGAAAUGUUGGGUUAAGUCCCGCAACGAGCGCAACCCGUUAUCCUUGUUGCCAGCGGUUAGGCCGGGAACUCAAAGGAGACUGCCAGUGAUAAACUGGAGGAAGGUGGGGAUGACGUCAAGUCAUCAUGGCCCUUACGAGUAGGGCUACACACGUGCUACAAUGGCGCAUACAAAGAGAAGCGACCUCGCGAGAGCAAGCGGACCUCAUAAAGUGCGUCGUAGUCCGGAUUGGAGUCUGCAACUCGACUCCAUGAAGUCGGAAUCGCUAGUAAUCGUAGAUCAGAAUGCUACGGUGAAUACGUUCCCGGGUCUUGUACACACCGAGUCGUGGGAGGCAAGGGCACACAGGGGGGGGGA
Molecule: ribosomal RNA, 473 nt
Filed under: uncultured bacterium
Lineage: Bacteria
Description: bacterial SSU rRNA
Rfam family: Bacterial small subunit ribosomal RNA
Source: RNAcentral